AGAAACUUAGGUUAAAAAUAACCCAAGAGCCUUCAAAGCCUAAACAGUAGGACGAACACCCCCCUAGUUUCUG
RNAcentral lists this transfer RNA (73 nucleotides) under Bavayia sauvagii. RNAcentral describes it as "tRNA-Trp". Lineage: Eukaryota; Metazoa; Chordata; Lepidosauria; Squamata; Diplodactylidae. The record is from RNAcentral.